UACGUAGGUGGCAAGCGUUGUCCGGAUUUACUGGGCGUAAAGGGCGUGCAGGCGGUUUGUUAAGUGCAGGGUGAAAGCUCCCGGCUCAACUGGGAGAGGUCCUUGCAUACUGGCGAACUCGAGGGAGGCAGAGGAAAGUGGAAUUCCCGGUGUAGUGGUGAUAUGCGUAGAUAUCGGGAGGAACACCUGUGGCGAAGGCGGCUUUCUGGGCCUCACCUGACGCUGAGACGCGAAAGCGUGGGGAGCGAACCGG
RNAcentral lists this ribosomal RNA (253 nucleotides) under uncultured bacterium. RNAcentral's name for it is "partial 16S ribosomal RNA". It matches the Rfam family "Bacterial small subunit ribosomal RNA", at positions 524 to 776 of the family's 1533-position model. The record is from RNAcentral.